UUGCAGGCUAGACUGGAGGGUUAGUCCUACUCUGUAAACACAAACGGACUUUAUGGUGUAGUCGAAGCUUGAGAGGCGGUAUAAGUAUUUCGGUGGGUCCUAACAGCUACUGUGAUACUCUGUCCUAUUUGGCGGGUACUUUUAUGAAAUGUGUCAGGCCAGGAAUGGAGCAGCACUAAGUAAUGGCAUCUGUGCUUUUAGGGUAGCGGGGUAGAGGAAUGGUUGGGGUCAGCCUGUUGAGGUAUUUAUAUCCACUCUCAGGUGUGCCUGUUU
This 273-nucleotide signal recognition particle RNA is filed under the name Candidatus Woesearchaeota archaeon. RNAcentral describes it as "signal recognition particle sRNA". It matches the Rfam family "Archaeal signal recognition particle RNA". The record is from RNAcentral. Lineage: Archaea; Nanobdellati; Candidatus Woesearchaeota.